GACGAACGCUGGCGGCGUGCUUAACACAUGCAAGUCGAACGGAAAGGCCCUGCUUUUGUGGGGUGCUCGAGUGGCGAACGGGUGAGUAACACGUGAGUAACCUGCCCUUGACUUUGGGAUAACUUCAGGAAACUGGGGCUAAUACCGGAUAGGAGCUCCUGCUGCAUGGUGGGGGUUGGAAAGUUUCGGCGGUUGGGGAUGGACUCGCGGCUUAUCAGCUUGUUGGUGGGGUAGUGGCUUACCAAGGCUUUGACGGGUAGCCGGCCUGAGAGGGUGACCGGCCACAUUGGGACUGAGAUACGGCCCAGACUCCUACGGGAGGUGGCAGUGGGGAAUAUUGCACAAUGGGCGGAAGCCUGAUGCAGCAACGCCGCGUGCGGGAUGACGGCCUUCGGGUUGUAAACCGCUUUCGCCUGUGACGAAGCGUGAGUGACGGUAAUGGGUAAAGAAGCACCGGCUAACUACGUG
This 468-nucleotide ribosomal RNA is filed under the name uncultured bacterium. RNAcentral's name for it is "partial 16S ribosomal RNA". It matches the Rfam family "Bacterial small subunit ribosomal RNA", at positions 28 to 507 of the family's 1533-position model. The record is from RNAcentral.